GAGUUUGAUCCUGGCUCAGGACGAACGCUGGCGGCGCGCCUAACACAUGCAAGUCGAACGGAGCUGAGAGGAGCUUGCUUUUCUUAGCUUAGUGGCGAACGGGUGAGUAACGCGUGAGUAACCUGCCCUGGAGUGGGGGACAACAGUUGGAAACGACUGCUAAUACCGCAUAAGCCCACGAUCCGGCAUCGGAUUGUGGGAAAAGGAUUUAUUCGCUUCAGGAUGGACUCGCGUCCAAUUAGCUAGUUGGUGAGGUAACGGCCCACCAAGGCGACGAUUGGUAGCCGGACUGAGAGGUUGAACGGCCACAUUGGGACUGAGACAGGCCCAGACUCCUACGGGAGGCAGCAGUGGGGAAUAUUGCACAAUGGGGGAAACCCUGAUGCAGCGACGCCGCGUGGAGGAAGAAGGUCUUCGGAUUGUAAACUCCUGUUGUUGGGGAAGAUAAUGACGGUACCCAACAAGGAAGUGACGGCUAACUACGUGCCAGCCGCCGCGGUAAUUC
RNAcentral lists this ribosomal RNA (505 nucleotides) under uncultured bacterium. RNAcentral's name for it is "bacterial SSU rRNA". It matches the Rfam family "Bacterial small subunit ribosomal RNA", at positions 9 to 526 of the family's 1533-position model. The record is from RNAcentral.